CCACCAUUCUUCCACCUCUCAAAUCACUCUUUCUAUUUAUUCUCUCUAACACACUUUUUUUAUUACUCAUCAUUGACAAAAGCUUAGACUUUUGAUUCUUUCCUUCAAUCUACUCUUAAGAAAAAAGAAUUUUUGAAUUAUAGAGAAAAAGUUGCGGUUUGUGAGAUUUUUGUUGGUGAAAUUAAGAUUGAUUAUGUUGAGAUCUGAUCGGAUAUGCUGAAUUUUAUAUGUUUUUCAGUUUAUUUGUGUAAAAUUUGAUUUUGAGUUUAUAUAGUUGAAAAAAAAAUUGAAUAUUGAAUGAAAAAUAGAGUUGAGUUUUGAUUGAAUUUGCUGAAUUUUAUUUGUUUUUCAAUGAAUUUUGAUAUUUUGGAGCUGAUAUAUUGAAAGAAUUGAAUUUUAAAUGAAAAUUGAGUCGUCGGUGUCGAUGGCGACAGUGGUGGUUGAAAAUAAAUGGCUGAAGUUGAUGAUAAAAUGUAUGUCCCUUGAUUGUGAGGUUGUGUGUAUGUGUAUAUCGUGAAGAUUUUUAAGAAUUGAAAGGGGAAGAUGAAGAAUUGGGAGAGUUGUCAUGGUCAUAUGCUCAUUCAAUCCAAUUAAAAAUCACCUUAAAUAAAUAAAAAAAAUUGUUCUCUCUCUUCCUAAAACCUCUGCUGCUCCUAUAACUGUCAGCGCCACCAUCUUCCGCUGCCAAAGAUCUUCAAGAUUCCAUAAAUGGCUGAACUUUCUGUCAAUUUAGAGAAACCCCACAAAGUUGAAGAUGUAAAAAAUGAAGAAUUUGAUGAAGAAUUGAAAGAGGAAGAUGAAGAAGAAAGAGAGUUAAGUGAAUAUGCUG
This 829-nucleotide long non-coding RNA is filed under the name Capsicum annuum. RNAcentral describes it as "long non-coding RNA (CANN_LNC010213)". Lineage: Eukaryota; Viridiplantae; Streptophyta; Magnoliopsida; Solanales; Solanaceae. The record is from RNAcentral.